CUGUCAGACAUGCGUGUUGUACUGUAGACCCGCAUUUUUUCACUCGCCUCUGUUUAUAUUUUUGAAAAACGGGGCAUUUUACACGAAGUGAGACUUCAGCGUGCAGCGACACAAACACCGGAACACCUCUGACACCAGUUGUAUCCACCGGACUCUCCUGGAGGUACGUUGUCCUUCCUUUCCCAGGUUUGGAGAGAUGUCGUCCGUGUGGCAGCAGGAGCCGUCAGGUUACUCCCCGUGCGUAGAGAUCGACUCCAGCUCUGUGAGGUGCAAAGACAGACUCAACUCUCCCGUCUGGCUGAAGCAGGAACAAGACGACCUCCGCAUCAUCAAGUGGGAGACUUUUCAGACGGGGGCCUCAGCCGAUGCCGUUCAGGACAACACACCCAGCAGUGCCAUGUCCGGUGCCUCACAGGCAGAGAACCUGCCCCCGAGGGUGCUGCUGACCAUCACCAAGCUCCAGUGCAUGCUGGAGAGCAAACAGGAGCGCAUCGCUGCUCUGGAGAGACAGGUGGAGGACCUGACGCAGGACCGCAAGUUCCUCCGGAGCCAAAUUGAAAACCUGACAAGUAACCGCCCCAUGCCAACGUUUGCAUCCCCCGGUCCUCUGGCCGAAGCUCCAAAACACAGCAAAGUGCAGCACUCAGAAAACAAAUCCCGCAAGAGAGAAAGAGCGUCCUCGUGUUCCUCUGGCAGCAGCAACAGCGGCUCCGAAGCGUCGGAAUCGUCCGAAGUUUCUGCGGCCUCAAGCGAACACCGAAGAAAGAAACACCACAAGGACAAGAAAAGAUCCAAGAAAUGGAAGGACUACAGCAGGAAGAGGGCCACCGGUGUGCAGUAUGUCAUCCACCGCUACAAACAAGUCCUGUCAGCCUUCAUCAAGAAGAAAAGCAUGAGCGAAGCCUUCCGUCAUCUCGGGAUCGACCGGAACACCAUCGCCAACACGGCAUCGAUUGCCGAGCUCCAUCUGGCCGGCAAAGACAUGGUCCCCUUGGUGGGGAUGUUUCGCCAAGGAGAAGAGACUCUGGUCAGCUACGCCCAAAGGUGCACCUUAGUCAUUGACAGCGACGCUGACCUCUCCAGGAGAAUAGACCAUAUGAAAGCUAACGGCGAGCUUCUGCCCAUCUCAGGGAAAAGGCCAAGGGUGUUGCAUUCUCACCUGCAGCAGCUGGGGGGCGCUGCAGAGAGCAUUCUAAUAGGUUGAUGACUAUUGCAUUGCAUGGAGGGAGAAGUGAAACAUAAUACCUUCAAAAACAAUUAUGUUGUUUUGUAUAUUUUUUCCACUGACUGCAUUUUUUGCAUUUAAAAAAAAAAGUGUAUUUAUGUCUCAAGGGGAUCAACAAUGUUAAUUAUUUUAAGUAUAUACAUUCCAGUAUCCACAUACACACAUUUAGGAUGUAUAUUUUGUACUAGAUAGACAUAAAAAGGAUUUACAGCUGCUGAUGUCACUGAUGGAUGUCUUCUUAAUCUUUGAAGAGCAGAAGUGUGUGCAGUGUUGGAAACAUCCACAAGAUGGCAGUGCUCGCAUGUCAGAUUAUGUUUUCAAAUCACUCCUCUUGUCAUUUACUUCAAAAUGGUGGAUAGUCAAUUGCCAUUUUCCAGCACCUCCUUAUGUUGGAGGUGCAACUUUCUGUCCAUAGACUUUGUGAAGAUGAUUUUGUCGACAUUAUCCUGUGAUUCAAAUGCUGCGAUUGUGACCGAGCGAAUUUCAAAUCUGAAUUUGUCGCAAAGUGUGUUAAUGUGUCUGAACUGCCAACAAAUGAAAACGAAAACACAAAGUUUGUUCAUAUGGAGAUUUUGUUGAGUUAUGUCGCCUUUUGUUUUUAACCCGGGGUAUUUUUAAGCAUCCCGUAUCAAGACACAGAUACUUGGUACUGCUGCACGCGACCUUUAAUAGAAACUGACCUUUCAGAAGUCACUUGAUCCCAGGUCAAGGGAUGGUGACGGAGCACAUCAACACCAAAUCACAUCAAUUCUGUUUCCUGUAAGAUGAAAUGUGACUUGACAACAAGUGAAAUGCAACAGAGGACAAAUCUAUGCGCUAUUAAAUUUGCUUUCAGAGGCAUAUUUUCAUUUUCUUGACCCUAGGAGCAGUUGUGCAGACAGAUGGGAAAAGCUUGGAAAGACAUCCUCGGGGCGACGAAACUAGCAAACUCACGUGACCGACUACAGUCCAUAAAAGCAUCAAUUGGACACAGAUGAGAUGAUGGUAUGUGACGUAAAAGAAUACGCAAGAUGACAGUGUGAAGGAACACCCCCCCCCACCCCCAACCACAACCCCAACCCCAACCUCAAAUCCUGUUGGUUAUUCGACCAGUGACGCAGGACAAACCAGACAUCUUUGGCACAAAAAGAAAAAUCAUUUGAAGGGGACUGGAUACAGGCGGACAAACAACUCAGUAAAAGCCUCACAAUAUGUUUCAGAAUGCUCUGAUAAAGCAGGGAUGAUAUGGAGUGUCGUCCGUCAUGUUUAAAAGUGGCCCGAGUGUUUAUGAGUAGGCGGUGGUUUGACUCGGAUGACUCAGUCACAGUUGUGCACGUCCUCUCUCACGGGGUUAAUGAUGGAAGAAAGUGGAAGUAAAAAGAAAAAGGAGAAAGUGGAGGAGUGAAAUGACUAAAGUGCCACUGGCCAUUAACUGCAGAUCAGAGCUGUCGUAUUAUCUGGAAACACAGACAGAUGGGAGGUUUGGCCAUAGGGGAAAUGCUUUCACUGUCUGCCAUGAUAAUAGUGCCACGAGAAGUCGGAUGUUUGGUGAGAAAGAUAUGUUUUGGAAACUGACUAUAAUCGAAGGGAUAGCAUGGUUGUACGUUUUUCAUUAUGGGAUUAGGGGAAGCUGGGCUUUUCUGUGUAUUCUCUUCUACUUGACCUCUAUUAUGAUAACAGAUGUUAAUUACACAGUGCUGGGUUUCCCUAUGUUGUUCUCACAAAUUGCAGGUUCCCCCCAGUACGCCCUUUCUGUUUUACAGACGCACAGACGUAUGUUUUCAGUUUCUUUGAGCAAAAUACAUGUUUUUUUAGCGCAUUCUGUGGUGUUAAGUCAGAUUUAGUGGGAUGACUGUAUGAGAGGUGGGUGUAUUUGCUCCUGGCUGUGAUACGCUACGGAACAUGGAAAAACAUGUCAACAUAAAACAAACUAUUUUACAAGUAGUGUUGUUGAUCCACAUAAGGUGAUGAAGUGUUUCUUUUUGACUGUAACCUAUUUUAUUUUAAAGUCCUGAAAACACCAAAAUUCUAGGGAUGCAAAGAUGAAAACACAACAGACAUAUGCACUCAUAAAAUCUGGGCAGAUACAUGAAUUCUGAAGAGCAACAGAGGGCAUUUGCAUCAGCAAGUUAUACAACUACUCUCCACCGGGGAAGAGGACAGACCCUAUGAUGAUGAGUCACUGUUGGGACCACUCAGCAUCCUGUCAUGACCCCUGCUGAUUGUACUCAUGUGGGAUGGCAGGGGAGUGGGCGGGAAAAGGUCAAAAGCAGUUUGUUGUUCACGUUGUAUUUCAUGCAUUUAAUGCACUGCUUACUGAGUGACCUGUGCAAGAGGAUUUAUUUAUACACAAAAGUGUUGCAGCUCUUUGGAUUGCGAUGAUGCAAUGAAUGCAAUCUGUCUGUCCUGUCCACUACUUUGGGAGUCAAUGUUUGCUGUGAGAUUUUGUUCAUCAUCAGGCCAAAUGUCCAAUAUUAUUAACAUUCCCUGAGAUUGAGCUGGACUUUGUGUUUUGAGCUUAUUAGCCAAUGCUAGCAUGCUAGCACACUUAUUGAGGAUGGUGAGCAGUACACUGUUGAA
This is an RNA transcript of Cottoperca gobio, 3784 nucleotides long. It is a transcript of the gene named coiled-coil domain-containing protein 106-like, with no coding region annotated. Lineage: Eukaryota; Metazoa; Chordata; Actinopteri; Perciformes; Bovichtidae. The record is from RefSeq and is a predicted model, not a curated record. The transcript is spliced from 6 exons.